RNAcentral lists this unclassified non-coding RNA (149 nucleotides) under uncultured Acrodontium. Its description in RNAcentral is "sequence contains ITS1". Lineage: Eukaryota; Fungi; Ascomycota; Dothideomycetes; Mycosphaerellales; Mycosphaerellaceae. The record is from RNAcentral.
CUGAGUGAGGGCCCUCGUGGUCCGACCUCCAACCCAUUGUUGUCCGACUCUGUUGCCUCGGGGGCGACCCGGCGCUUCGGCGCCAGGGGUCCCCGCUGGUCCACACAACUCUGCAUCUUUGCGUCUGAGAACAACUUUUAAAUAAGUCA